Long non-coding RNA from Dendroctonus ponderosae (mountain pine beetle), 3139 nucleotides. RefSeq lists it as uncharacterized. The transcript has 4 exons. The record is from RefSeq and is a predicted model, not a curated record. NCBI's taxonomy places the organism in Eukaryota, Metazoa, Arthropoda, Insecta, Coleoptera, Curculionidae.
AUAUCACCCCUCACAAAUGCCGACAAUCUCCGUCAGAGACCGCCACAAAGCAGCACGUGGCGCUUAGCUGAGUCUCCAACCGCUCAGAACGUGCAUUUUGCCACAUGGCUCAUCCGGCGGCAGUUUCAGUCACAUUUUACCCGAUGGCGCCACCACCGUUUACCGCCUAGAAACAAGCGGACGCUCUAUCCCCACCACGUAGCUAUGAUUCCCCUCGAUAAGGCGGGGCAUAUAACUCAUUGUGUCUAUCAUUAGGCGUGUCAAGAACUAACGGGGAAAGAAAGUGGGAGUUUUGCGGAAGUGGACGUUAGCAAAACGGUUCACUAUUAUCAAGUUGUGGUUGCUGGUCGAAUCGUGGUCUAUUUCACUAGUUUCGUUGGAAUGACGUUACCAAGUCGGUUAUUAUUGACAUUAGUUUUUGGCCAGGUGUGCUUGGUGGUUCGUCGAAAGAACACGCCGCCAACUCUCAACUCUCAAAGUUCUGCCCCCGGCCUGCCGCGCCGCCCCACUCCACACACGCAAGUUGGCGGAACACGCAGGUCCGAACUGCCGCCGCCAACUACGAUGAAUUCGCUCCACCAAGUCGGUUCUCAGUUGCAGCUACAGUUUCGUUCUGACAUGUCUUCAUCGAUCAAGUGGGCAUCAGUUGGUAGCAAGUCCCAUGUGCUCAUCAAGACUGAACUGAAAAACGAAAUCUCACACUGUCGAUUUCCACAUAACGACGGAUUAGUGCGUGUGUUUUUUUUGUGAAUCGAUGGAUCUCAGUGAACGGUUUUUACAUUUUUGUUACUCUGACCAGUUUGUCGCCAAAGUGAUCUCUGGAGCAGCAAAUGCCACUUAUGAAUUUGACGCAAUGUUUCAUCAUAUUGAAAAUAUACGUGGACAAAGCGGACAUUCAUCGAGCACCGUUAACAUGGUAAGCAGGAAUGUUCAUUUUGAGUUUUCGGUAGCGGGGUAUAAAUAAUUACACUGAAUUCAUUGAAAAUUGGAUAUUGAAUAAUAAUUAUAUGGAAAUUCUGAAUAAAAUACUGCCUGGAUAACUACUUAGAAAAUCUGGAUAUUGACAGGCAUAUCGAGAACUAAGCGAAAAUCUCAAAAAAUAUUUAACACAGCUAAAAAGAAUGGAAUUAUCAAAUCGUCUCUAAAUAAAUAAAAAUUAUAAUUUAACAGUUUGCAUGUUCGAUAUAGUUGAAUUAUAUCAAAAACUACCGAAAUGAACAAAUUAUAUUUAAAUCGAGAAAAUACAUUUUCGAAUAACUAUUUGGGGGCAUUCGAUUAACCAGAAUAAGGCAAAGUUUCCCUGAUAGCAAACUAAUAAAACUAGAAGACUGUUAGCAAUAAAUGGCAUUUAAAAAUGGGGCAAUUAAUUCUGUUAUUAAAUUUUGUUGGUCCAAGUUUGGAAAAUAGACGCACUUGCAGGCAUCAUGCGUCUUCCAUUAAGCAAAUCUGUAUUAUCCUUGAUAUAUUAAAGGAGUUGUAUAUAUUUUGAACACUAGCCCAAUAUAAAUAUUUACGGGAACCUAAAGAGCAUUUGCCACUUUAGCUUCUCGGUUCCAAUAACUCUUUAUCGGUUCACAAAGGUUUAAGCAAAUAAGGUACCAUCAAACUGCAUCUGAAAUCUCAAUCGAAAAUCGGGGUUUCGGCUUUAUCUAAAACAUUUCGAUCUACACAGUACCCACAUAGGUAUGGUAAAACUGGUAAAAAUGGAAAAACUGUUCACUUUUGGAUUGAUUAGUUUCACAUUUUAAAGUUCAACUAUUUGAUUGAGUAAACCAUGCUAUUUAGUUGGUUUUUACAAAUUAAAUAGUUUUCAAACAAAUCUUGGACGCUGAAGCAAUUAUAGUUUUGAGGUCAGUUACCAAAUGCCCAACAUAAUAGACAUUAUAGUUGUAUCAAAUCUUCAUUUUUAGCAUUCCAAUUUUGACCUGAAAGCCAUAUAGAUUUCGAAUCGUUACUUAUUAGAAUCAUAAUUUCCUUUAAUGUGUCUGCAUUUCGCUGGUCAUUCAUCAACAUGCUCACGUUCUGCAGCUUAUCACGAAUGUUUUAUAGCACAUUCCUGCACCAUUACCUAACUCACGUUUCAAGCGUCAAACGUUCACAUUAAACCGAACAAACCAUCAUAUGAAAGACUGUUGUUGGAGAUGCAAAUCUACAAUCGCAGUCAGCAUUUUGUCUAGUCAUUGUUGACAAUGCAAGAAAAAAGUCGUAUAAAACAAAUUUACCUAUUUCCAACCGGUUGUCUUUGUGCACACUGAACAAUCAAAGCCAUCAGUGUUCCCUGUAAUGAAGCCUGGCUUUCGUCAAAUCACGAUGACUUGAAUUUCGCCAACGAAAGUGUUACAGGCCGUUACAAUGUUGAAGGAAACCGUUGGUUUGGAACAGUGGAGACUUGGAGCACGCAAAUGUGCAAGAUGAAACCGCUAAUCAAUAGAUAUUGGCUAUGGAUAAGCAAUAGUCAAUAUAAAAAAUGGGUUUGCGGAUAUAUUUGAUUCGUAAUUUGAAUAUCUAGAGCUGAACAGAAAAUUUUCAACCCUUGUCAGCUAUUUGGUAAAUAAACUAUCGAUCCUGCGGUAAUAGAGCUGGAUCAAUUCCUUCACAUGGCCCCGACCUGUAGCCCGCAUACACACAUUUUCUUAACCCUUUUGUGCCGGUUAUUAUGCCAAGGGUAAAUUAAUGCAAGCAAACGCACCCCUUGCAGACCGUAUUCAAAUUUUUCCCAUAGGGCUCCCGGUGCGUCCCUUCUUGUUCAAUACCUUCGUCGAAAUUUUAUCAAUUUUUCAUCGCGGCACAUAAUACCCAAAGCGUGAUAUAUUCGAAAAUUAUGAUAAAAUAACGGGUGUUUUUUAUUCUUAACCAGCCGACCGGGCGGUUAGUUUGGGCAAUAAUCUGCUAUAGAUUCCGACGCUCAUUUUGCAUCAAAAUAUAGAAAGGGUUCGUGAGAAUGCAUAUUUAAUGCCAGUAAAUCAACGACUAGGUAUGCCAUACAUUUUUCGUAGCCAAAUGCGUUACUGUCGAGGCUUCUCCCCUGAAAUACUAGAGAAAAUCAAAUCAAUAGAUGUAAUAAUUUUUCGAUUUUUCCUAAUGAACGGUUGGUUGGUAGCUGCUGGAAAUUACAAUUUGAUUCAAAAUUUAUAAAAUU